UAAGCAGUUCAUUUGGUGGCUCCUCAACUCAGAGCGUCCCUUCGGUUCGUAUGGAAGCUAGGUGUGCCAUCCGAUCGGCACUACGAUUUCCUUCCCUCUAGUCGAUCCACCUCCCUGUAUCGCUUCGACAGCCCAUCGAGCAUCUACUUCGACUACUAAGUUUGUCGCUCCCAGGGUUUUCGCAAGACCACCUGCGGUAGCCAUACCCGUGCUUGCUUUGUAAGCCCGGUCUGAGUUCAAGAUCCAGUGUUCACUUGGUGGUUUCCUCCAUUUUACCCAUUUGGGUUCACAGGUAAUCCACUAUGUUUUAUGUUGUUCUUUGCUUGGGAGAUUUCUUUUGUUAGAUUGUUGCUGUUGUUUAUCAACUGAGUUGUGUUGGGAUUAUUGUUUUUAAAUAUUGUUUCGUUUCUGGUUU
Hibiscus syriacus is the source of this 415-nucleotide long non-coding RNA. RefSeq lists it as uncharacterized. The transcript has 3 exons. The record is from RefSeq and is a predicted model, not a curated record. NCBI's taxonomy places the organism in Eukaryota, Viridiplantae, Streptophyta, Magnoliopsida, Malvales, Malvaceae.